AGAGUUUGAUCCUGGCUCGAGAGUUGAACGCUGGCGGCAUGCCUUACACAUGAAAGUCGAACGGCAGCGGGCCUUCGGGUGCCGGCGAGUGGCGAACGGGUGAGUAAUGCAUCGGAACGUGCCAUUGAGUGGGGGAUAACGUAGCGAAAGUUACGCUAAUACCGCAUAUUCUGUGAGCAGGAAAGCAGGGGACCGCAAGGCCUUGCGCUCUUUGAGCGGCCGAUGUCAGAUUAGCUAGUUGGUGAGGUAAAGGCUUACCAAGGCGACGAUCUGUAGCGGGUCUGAGAGGAUGAUCCGCCACACUGGAACUGAGACACGGUCCAGACUCCUACGGGAGGCAGCAGUGGGGAAUUUUGGACAAUGGGCGCAAGCCUGAUCCAGCCAUGCCGCGUGAGUGAAGAAGGCCUUCGGGUUGUAAAGCUCUUUCGGCCGGGAAGAAAUCGCAUGGGUUAAUACCCUGUGUGGAUGACGGUACCGGAAUAAGAAGCACCGGCUAACUACGUG
RNAcentral lists this ribosomal RNA (504 nucleotides) under uncultured bacterium. Its description in RNAcentral is "bacterial SSU rRNA". It matches the Rfam family "Bacterial small subunit ribosomal RNA", at positions 8 to 507 of the family's 1533-position model. The record is from RNAcentral.